AACCCAGUGUGACUCGUCACACUAUCAUUAACUGAAUCCAUAGGUUAAUGAGGCGAACCGGGGGAACUGAAACAUCUAAGUACCCCGAGGAAAAGAAAUCAACCGAGAUUCCCCCAGUAGCGGCGAGCGAACGGGGAGGAGCCCAGAGCCUGAAUCAGCAUGUGUGUUAGUGGAAGCGUCUGGAAAGGCGCGCGAUACAGGGUGACAGCCCCGUACACAAAAGCGCAUGUGCUGUGAGCUCGAUGAGUAGGGCGGGACACGUGGUAUCCUGUCUGAAUAUGGGGGGACCAUCCUCCAAGGCUAAAUACUCCUGACUGACCGAUAGUGAACCAGUACCGUGAGGGAAAGGCGAAAAGAACCCCGGCGAGGGGAGUGAAACAGAACCUGAAACCGUGUACGUACAAGCAGUGGGAGCCCCACCACUAAGCCAGUGGUGAACUCCGCAUACGCAUCCUUUGCUGAGGAUACGGUUAACGGAGCGAGAGCGACGUUUAACCGCAAAAGAAGCAGAGGGGGCUUAGUGGUGGGGUGACUGCGUACCUUUUGUAUAAUGGGUCAGCGACUUAUAUUCUGUAGCAAGGUUAACCGAAUAGGGGAGCCGGAGGGAAACCGAGUCUUAAC
This 621-nucleotide ribosomal RNA is filed under the name Salmonella enterica. Its description in RNAcentral is "partial 23S ribosomal RNA". It matches the Rfam family "Bacterial large subunit ribosomal RNA", at positions 125 to 688 of the family's 2925-position model. The record is from RNAcentral. Lineage: Bacteria; Pseudomonadati; Pseudomonadota; Gammaproteobacteria; Enterobacterales; Enterobacteriaceae.